Molecule: ribosomal RNA, 462 nt
Filed under: uncultured bacterium
Lineage: Bacteria
Description: bacterial SSU rRNA
Rfam family: Bacterial small subunit ribosomal RNA
Source: RNAcentral
UCCUACGGGAGGCAGCAGUGAGGAAUAUUGGUCAAUGGGCGCAAGCCUGAACCAGCCAUCCCGCGUGAAGGAAGAAGGCGCUAUGCGUUGUAAACUUCUUUUCCAGGGGAAGAAAGUUCCGUAUGUAUACGGGAUUGCCGGUACCUUGGGAAUAAGCAUCGGCUAACUCCGUGCCAGCAGCCGCGGUAAUACGGAGGAUGCGAGCGUUAUCCGGAUUUAUUGGGUUUAAAGGGUGCGUAGGCGGACUGGUAAGUCAGUGGUGAAAUACUGCAGCUUAACUGUAGAAUUGCCGUUGAUACUGUCAGUCUUGAGUGUGGUUAAGGUAGGCGGAAUGUGUAAUGUAGCGGUGAAAUGCUUAGAUAUUACACAGAACACCGAUUGCGAAGGCAGCUUACUGAACCAUAACUGACGCUGAGGCACGAAAGCGUGGGGAGCGAACAGGAUUAGAUACCCGGGUAGUCC